AUGAUUUUUGGUGGCGUGCUAGUAAGAGAUCGGACAGUGGAAACUUUUCAAUGGGUGUUCACUGAAUUUACCCGCAUGAUGGGCGACAAACAUCCAGAAACCGUGCUCACACAUCAAUGCAAGGCGACGGAAGUAGCAAUAGAGAAAGUGAUGCCACACACGACUCACCGUUGGUGCAAGUGGCACGUGCAAUUGGUAAUUUCAUGGGGCUAA
RNAcentral lists this ribosomal RNA (213 nucleotides) under Triticum aestivum (bread wheat). RNAcentral describes it as "partial small subunit ribosomal RNA". The record is from RNAcentral. Lineage: Eukaryota; Viridiplantae; Streptophyta; Magnoliopsida; Poales; Poaceae.